UUGACCUCGAAUCAGGUAGGAAUACCCGCUGAACUUAAGCAUAUCAAUAAGCGGAGGAAAAGAAACCAACAGGGAUUGCCCCAGUAACGGCGAGUGAAGCGGCAACAGCUCAAAUUUGAAAUCUGGCCCCCCGGGGCCCGAGUUGUAAUUUGCAGAGGAUGCUUUUGGCGAGGCGCCUUCCGAGUUCCCUGGAACGGGACGCCACAGAGGGUGAGAGCCCCGUCUGGUCGGACGCCGAGCCUCUGUAAAGCUCCUUCGACGAGUCGAGUAGUUUGGGAAUGCUGCUCUAAAUGGGAGGUAUAUGUCUUCUAAAGCUAAAUACCGGCCAGAGACCGAUAGCGCACAAGUAGAGUGAUCGAAAGAUGAAAAGCACUUUGAAAAGAGGGUUAAAUAGUACGUGAAAUUGUUGAAAGGGAAGCGCUUGUGACCAGACUUGGGCCCGGCGGAUCACCCAGCGUUCUCGCUGGUGCACUCCGGCGGGCCCAGGCCAGCAUCAGCUCGUCCCGGGGGACAAAGGCGGGGGGAACGUGGCUCCUCCGGGAGUGUUAUAGCCCACCGCGCAAUGCCCUGGGGCGGGCUGAGGACCGCGCAUCUGCAUGGAUGCUGGCGUAAUGGUCAUCAGCGACCCGUCUUGAAACACGGACCAA
RNAcentral lists this ribosomal RNA (647 nucleotides) under Claviceps rhynchelytri. RNAcentral's name for it is "eukaryotic LSU rRNA". It matches the Rfam family "Eukaryotic large subunit ribosomal RNA", at positions 1 to 669 of the family's 3401-position model. The record is from RNAcentral. Lineage: Eukaryota; Fungi; Ascomycota; Sordariomycetes; Hypocreales; Clavicipitaceae.